Long non-coding RNA from Herpailurus yagouaroundi (jaguarundi), 914 nucleotides. RefSeq lists it as uncharacterized. The transcript is spliced from 3 exons. The record is from RefSeq and is a predicted model, not a curated record. NCBI's taxonomy places the organism in Eukaryota, Metazoa, Chordata, Mammalia, Carnivora, Felidae.
GCCUGCAGUAAAACCAGGCAGGAGCCGCGUCCUCUACCACAGGCAAGUUACUGCGCCUCUCUGCGCCUGUCCUAUUCUCCGUGAAACGGUAGAGUGGAACAUAGUCCGUGCAACAAGAUAUUAGGGAAGCCGAGUCGAGAUUCCAGGAUGAAGUCACUUUGUGACUUCCCUGCGCAAGGAAGAGACCGCUUACUUGCACCAGGAGGAUCCUCAGAGGGGGCUAAUGCCUGAACUGUUCUGGAAUUCUCCUGCCUGAAGCCCACCAAUGACUUCUCUCCUGUCCUCAGAACUAACCCAGAGCAGCCUGUAUCCUUAAACCAACCUCCUCUUCUGGGAGCCACCACCGCUCACCCCUCAGGCCUGGCCAGUCCUCUCUGCAGCAGGUGCCUCCUACCUUGAAUCCUUGCUUCUGCCUGCAACUUGGCUCACAGGCAGCCAGGAAGAUCCUUUGAAAACACAACUGCGAUAAUGUCACCUCGGUGCACUCAACAAGCCAGUGGCUUCCCAUUGUAGUUGCGGGAAAACCCUAAAUCGUUAUAGCUCACCAAGCUCCAGACCUCAGGGUCCAGUUCCCCUCAACCUCCUCUCCUCCUGCCUGGUCACUCACCUGCUUUAAACACACAGGCCUCUUUGCUGUUCCCCUCGGAGCCCGUGUACCUGCCGUUUCCUCCCCCAAAUGUCUUCAGAUGCUUCUGUGGUGGAUGCCUUCCCUUCCAGGUCUCUGCCCAAAUACCACCUUCUUAGAGCUUCCCCGGACCCCCAGCUGCUGUGCCCUCAACUCUCUCUCACAUGUACACCCUAAUUCUCCUCUUCACCCCUUACCCACCUUAGUUUUUCUCCUAAGUGCUUAUUUCCACCCGAAAUUAUUUUACUUAUAAAGUGUACAAAUAAUUUAAAAAUGUUACAAUAUUGUC